UACGGAGGGUCCAAGCGUUAUCCGGAAUCAUUGGGUUUAAAGGGUCCGUAGGCGGUUUUGUAAGUCAGUGGUGAAAGCCCAUCGCUCAACGGUGGAACGGCCAUUGAUACUGCAAGACUUGAAUUAUUGGGAAGCAACUAGAAUAUGUAGUGUAGCGGUGAAAUGCUUAGAUAUUACAUGGAAUACCAAUUGCGAAGGCAGGUUGCUACCAAUACAUUGACGCUGAUGGACGAAAGCGUGGGGAGCAAACAGGG
This 254-nucleotide ribosomal RNA is filed under the name uncultured bacterium. RNAcentral describes it as "partial 16S ribosomal RNA". It matches the Rfam family "Bacterial small subunit ribosomal RNA", at positions 524 to 777 of the family's 1533-position model. The record is from RNAcentral.